RNAcentral lists this transfer RNA (86 nucleotides) under Trieres chinensis. RNAcentral's name for it is "tRNA-Leu (uaa)". It matches the Rfam family "tRNA". Rfam says of the family: Transfer RNA (tRNA) molecules are approximately 80 nucleotides in length. Their secondary structure includes four short double-helical elements and three loops (D, anti-codon, and T loops). The record is from RNAcentral. Lineage: Eukaryota; Bacillariophyta; Thalassiosirophyceae; Eupodiscales; Parodontellaceae.
GGGAAUGUGGUGGAAUUGGUAGACACGACGGACUUAAAAUCCGUUGCCUUGUGAAAGCGGUGAGGGUUCAAGUCCCUCCGUUCCCA